CGAGAGGAUAAGAUAAAACAAGGAGGGAGAGGCCUCGCGCAGGAGGAGAAAAGAAAGAGAGACAGACAGACAGAGCACACCGAAUUAAGGGAGAGUUCGUUGAGCAGAGUGACGCUUCAAGGAAAAUCACAAAUUCGACGGCCAUAGAGUCAAAAUCAGCCGAAACCCCCAACUGGAGAGUGACAGUAGACUCAAAGAGCUUUCCAUCCGUAGAUAAUUCACUCCGUACAGAGAUCAGGAGGUCGGUCAAAAGGGGUCCGAAAACACCGUUUUUCGGAAUGCCCGCCGGUGAAAGGAUCAGCUGACACCCUCUUGGAAAGAGCCAAAUUCGAACACGAACCUUCUUCAGCAUUGCCUAGGCGGAGAAAUUAAGAACACGUAAUUAGGAGUGGACCAAGCCAACAAGCUUGACUUUGAUUGGAGGGUGAGGUCCGAAAGAAGCUGACUCCACCUGUUUGUGAGCAGAAUCCGAGGCUGUAAGGACACGAGCCAAACAAGCAUUUGCAGAAAAGCAUCAUAAAAGCACGUUUCGUUUCAACUUCCUACCUUAGAUCCUCAUGGACAGAGUGU
Syzygium oleosum is the source of this 570-nucleotide long non-coding RNA. RefSeq lists it as uncharacterized. The transcript is spliced from 3 exons. Lineage: Eukaryota; Viridiplantae; Streptophyta; Magnoliopsida; Myrtales; Myrtaceae. The record is from RefSeq and is a predicted model, not a curated record.